This 1371-nucleotide long non-coding RNA is filed under the name Oreochromis niloticus (Nile tilapia). RNAcentral's name for it is "lncRNA (ENSONIG00000034013.1)". Lineage: Eukaryota; Metazoa; Chordata; Actinopteri; Cichliformes; Cichlidae. The record is from RNAcentral.
UAUUAUUUUGAAAUCAAGCAUGUAGGAAGACUGUUCUGGACCAGGCAGUCCUGAAUUUUAUUAUAAAGGACUGCCAACCCCUUGUGGAGAGUGAGGGGUUCAGGGAGCUGGUUCAGGUCCUUCAUACAUUUUGCCAACCAGAAAGGUUUAUAUAGACAAUGUCUCAUCAGGUAGCUGAUGUUAAGUACUGCAUACUGAUUUAAUUUUGUUUGUUAGCCAAAAACCAUGCGGAGGAACUCGAACGAGUGAAAACGGAGUGUGCUGCAGUAAUUGCCCCCACAACAUCUGAGCCACAGCCUGGACCUUCAUCAGAGCAGUCCCCUGUUCCAGAAAACCUGUGGCAGCGGCUCGAUGAAGAAGUUGGCAGACAAACCAACAAUGCAACAGUGGACUCCAUCAUUGAGGUCCAGCGCUACUUGGCGGAGAGAAACAUUACAAGAUUAGAGGAUCCUCUAACGUACUGAGGGAAUAGGAAGACAUCUUAUCUGAACCUUUUCCACCUGGCUUUACAGUUUUUGUGUACCCCAGCUUCAUCUGUGCCCUGUGAGAAUGUGUUUUCCAAAGCUGGGAAAAUGGUGUCAAAAAAACGCAAUAGACUGAAUGCAAAAAUAUUGGAUAAAGUUAUUUUUCUGAAUAGAAAUUUAUAAUAAACUCUGAGUCAGUUACAUUUAAAUGGGUAAUAUUACAUUCACAAUACUUUUAUUUUAAUUUUCACUUAAUGUCAUUCACAAUAUAUUUUAAAGAUGUCUACAAUAUUUGAAAUGUAAAAGAUAUAAAAUGAUUCCAUGGAAAGUACAAUACCUUACAGUGUAUACAAGUAUGACUAGGUCAUUGAAUCAGUGUCUGUUGUGAGUCUCAAGUAAGUUGCCUGUAAUGAUAUUUAAGGUCCAGCAGGUGUCAGUAUGGAGCAAAACAGCAACACUGUGUCGACACAGUAUCGAUACAGUUUGGGGAAUGUGCUGAAACGCUUCACGAGGCCUCAUCUACCCAUCACUACUAAGAACUAACGAAGACAGAUCAAAAAAUUAAAGAUUAAUAAUACAAAACAGAAAACACUGGGUCAUUGACCCAGGACCAUGACAGAAACGCAAGGACACUGAGGGCUGAGGUAACACAGGGGAAGACAAGCAGAGGGCACACAGGGCAUGACAAAUAGACGCUCCGGCAAAGAACAGAGGUAAACACACACACACAAGGUAACGAGGAAAUGGCACACAGGAGGGAGACACAGCUGAACCUAAUUAGAUGAGACUGGGAGGAAGCAAACCAGAAAACAUGAACAUAGAACCAAAAACACUAGACACAACACAAAGAAGCCAGAGAGAACAGUUAAACACUGGGAAGGAUAACAAAUACCCCCAAACUAGCAAA